UACGUAGGUGGCAAGCGUUGUCCGGAUUUAUUGGGUUUAAAGGGUGCGUAGGCGGUUCUAUAAGUCAGUGGCGAAAUCCGGCAGCUCAACUGUCGAUGUGCCAUUGAUACUGCAGAACUUGAGUACAGACGAGGUAGGCGGAAUUGACGGUGUAGCGGUGAAAUGCUUAGAUAUGACAUAGAACACCCAUUGCGAAGGCAGCUCGCUACACUAUUAUUGACGCUGAGGCACGAAAGCGUGGGGAUCAAACAGG
RNAcentral lists this ribosomal RNA (253 nucleotides) under uncultured prokaryote. RNAcentral's name for it is "partial 16S ribosomal RNA". It matches the Rfam family "Bacterial small subunit ribosomal RNA", at positions 524 to 776 of the family's 1533-position model. The record is from RNAcentral.